RNAcentral lists this ribosomal RNA (270 nucleotides) under uncultured bacterium. Its description in RNAcentral is "partial 16S ribosomal RNA". It matches the Rfam family "Bacterial small subunit ribosomal RNA", at positions 85 to 354 of the family's 1533-position model. The record is from RNAcentral.
CCGCCGGCGACCGGCGCGACGGUGGGUAACGCGUAUGCAACUUACCUAUCAGAGGGGGAUAACCCGGCGAAAGUCGGACUAAUACCGCAUGAAGCAGGGGCCCCGCAUGGGGAUAUUUGCUAAAGAUUCAUCGCUGAUAGAUAGGCAUGCGUUCCAUUAGGCAGUUGGCGGGGUAACGGCCCACCAAACCGACGAUGGAUAGGGGUUCUGAGAGGAAGGUCCCCCACAUUGGUACUGAGACACGGACCAAACUCCUACGGAAGGCAGCAG